RNAcentral lists this ribosomal RNA (440 nucleotides) under uncultured bacterium. Its description in RNAcentral is "partial 16S ribosomal RNA". It matches the Rfam family "Bacterial small subunit ribosomal RNA", at positions 338 to 795 of the family's 1533-position model. The record is from RNAcentral.
CCUACGGGAGGCAGCAGUAGGGAAUAUUGCUCAAUGGGGGAAACCCUGAAGCAGCAACGCCGCGUGGAGGAUGAAGGUUUUCGGAUUGUAAACUCCUUUUGUUAGAGAAGAUAAUGACGGUAUCUAACGAAUAAGCACCGGCUAACUCCGUGACAGCAGCCGCGGUAAUACGGAGGGUGCAAGCGUUACUCGGAAUCACUGGGCGUAAAGGGCGCGUAGGCGGGAUAGCAAGUCAGAUGUGAAAUCCUAUGGCUUAACCAUAGAACUGCAUUUGAAACUGUUAUUCUAGAGUAUGGGAGAGGUAGGUGGAAUUCUUGGGGUAGGGGUAAAAUCCGUAGAGAGCAAGAGGAAUACUCAUUGCGAAGGCGACCUGCUAGAACAUAACUGACGCUGAUGCGCGAAAGCGUGGGGAGCAAACAGGAUUAGAUACCCUAGUAGUC